CCUACGGGGGCUGCAGUGGGGAAUAUUGGACAAUGGGGGCAACCCUGAUCCAGCCAUGCCGCGUGUGUGAAGAAGGCCCUCGGGUUGUAAAGCACUUUCAGUGAGGAAGAACGCCUGGUGGUUAAUACCCAUCAGGAAAGACAUCACUCACAGAAGAAGCACCGGCUAACUCCGUGCCAGCAGCCGCGGUAAUACGGAGGGUGCGAGCGUUAAUCGGAAUUACUGGGCGUAAAGCGCGCGUAGGUGGCUUGAUAAGCCGGUUGUGAAAGCCCCGGGCUCAACCUGGGAACGGCAUCCGGAACUGUCAAGCUAGAGUGCAGGAGAGGAAGGUAGAAUUCCCGGUGUAGCGGUGAAAUGCGUAGAGAUCGGGAGGAAUACCAGUGGCGAAGGCGGCCUUCUGGACUGACACUGACACUGAGGUGCGAAAGCGUGGGUAGCAAACAGGAUUAGAUACCCUGGUAGUC
RNAcentral lists this ribosomal RNA (464 nucleotides) under Vreelandella stevensii. RNAcentral's name for it is "partial 16S ribosomal RNA". It matches the Rfam family "Bacterial small subunit ribosomal RNA", at positions 338 to 795 of the family's 1533-position model. The record is from RNAcentral. Lineage: Bacteria; Pseudomonadati; Pseudomonadota; Gammaproteobacteria; Oceanospirillales; Halomonadaceae.